ACGGAUCGCUCCUCAGUAUCUAUAUCCGCAUUCAUUUGAUAUUUUACCAUACUUCAAUAUAAGAACGUUUGUUAUUGAAAUAGUGAUGUAAAAACAUUUAAUCUGCAAAAUUAUUUGAAGAUGAAGUUAAGAGGCAAAGAUUAAUUUGUUAUUUUCCUAAAAUGGAAAAGAAGAGAAAAUAAACUUUGAGAGGCGAACUGAUUAAAGAAAUACAUUACAUGCCAA
RNAcentral lists this long non-coding RNA (225 nucleotides) under Carica papaya (papaya). RNAcentral describes it as "long non-coding RNA (CPAP_LNC007642)". The record is from RNAcentral. Lineage: Eukaryota; Viridiplantae; Streptophyta; Magnoliopsida; Brassicales; Caricaceae.